UCAACCAUCAAGCUAGGCUUGCUGUUGGGCCCGCCCGUGAUGGGGCGGGCCCCAAAGGCAGUGGCGGGGUGGACGGACCCUAGAUGCAACGAGCUGUAUCAUAACCAGCACGCAUCGAAGCGGCCGCCCGCCUUCGACCUCACCGGAUUUAUCCUUCAAA
Molecule: unclassified non-coding RNA, 160 nt
Filed under: uncultured Eurotiomycetes
Lineage: Eukaryota; Fungi; Ascomycota; Eurotiomycetes
Description: sequence contains ITS2
Source: RNAcentral